UACGUAGGGACCAAGCGUUGUUCGGAUUUACUGGGCGUAAAGGGCGCGUAGGCGGCGCGGUAAGUCGGGUGUGAAAUCUCGGGGCUUAACUCCGAAACUGCAUUCGAUACUGCCGUGCUUGAGGACUGGAGAGGAGACUGGAAUUUACGGUGUAGCGGUGAAAUGCGUAGAUAUCGUAAGGAAGACCAGUGGCGAAGGCGGGUCUCUGGACAGUUCCUGACGCUGAGGCACGAAGGCCAGGGGAGCAAACGGG
This 253-nucleotide ribosomal RNA is filed under the name uncultured bacterium. RNAcentral's name for it is "partial 16S ribosomal RNA". It matches the Rfam family "Bacterial small subunit ribosomal RNA", at positions 524 to 776 of the family's 1533-position model. The record is from RNAcentral.